Molecule: unclassified non-coding RNA, 380 nt
Filed under: uncultured bacterium
Lineage: Bacteria
Description: contains 16S-23S intergenic spacer region
Source: RNAcentral
UCCGGUUUGGCACCGGCAGUCUCCCUAGAGUUCCCGGCAUCACCCGCUGGCAACUAAGGACAGGGGUUGCGCUCGUUGCGCCACUUAAGGCAACACCUCACGGCACGAGCUGACGACAGCCAUGCAGCAUCUGUGCACGCUCCCUUGCGGGUCCUCGCCCUUUCGGGUCCGUACCACGUGCAUGUCAAGCCCAGGUAAGGUUCUUCGCGUUGCGUCGAAUUAAACCACACGCUCCGCUGCUUGUGCGGGCCCCCGUCAAUUCCUUUAUGUUUUAGUCUUGCGACCGUACUCCACAGGCGGGAUACUUAACGCGUUAGCUUCGCUACUGAAGGGGUCGAUACCUCCAACAGCUAGUAUCCAUCGUUUACGGCGUGGACUAC